GAGGAAAUGUAAAAUAUUUCGAAAAUUAUAGAUGUUUAAGUGCUUUUAUUUAACAAUUGGUUCAUGCUUUAGCGUGCACUAUUGAGUUAUGGAGCACGUGGGAAGUUUGGAGAGCACAAAAAAGCGUAAGAGUUGCCCGAGGCGAUAGCGGAGGAACUCUAGCUUCUUGAGUUCUCUACAAACUGCUCUAUAACUCGAUAAUGCUCAGCUAAAAGCAUGAACCAAUUGUCUUAAAACAAAGUAGGUGGAAUUGUGCAUCAAAUCCGAUGCGAAAAACGGACAAUAAUAUCAGAAGUGAUUGUUCGCGGUAAGCGAAAUACUAAGCAAAAUAGGAAUUGGUUUUAUUUCAAAUUUUCCGUUUAAAGCACGAGUUUUAUAUUUAACAAUUUUAAAACGAAAAAAUUUAAGCUUACUUUGAAAGUUGAAACAGACCAGUUUGUCAUUUGUUUGGUUUUACCAAUGUCUUUCUAUCAAAAAUUGUUCAGUGCGUUUCACCCUCGCACAGUGAAGCGAAUCAUGACGGCGCUGAUGCCGAGUCUCCUUUUCUGUUGCUUUUCUCUUUUUCGGCAUCAUUUCAAGAGAAAAGGUCGGAAAAUCGUCUUUAUUUUGGGACUGGCGGGCCGAGUUUCUGUUUGUAUCCAUUAUUGUCGCGAGAUAUAAUAUUUUUCUCCUCGCUAACAAUGGCCGCUCCCGCGAAAAAAAAUUCUGGAGAAGCGAUUUGCUCACGCUAUCUCACGCUAUCAGCGUGCACUAUCGGGAUUUUGAGUACGCUUACGUACGCGGCUCUGCUAGCUAUGUGAUAAAAAAUAGUUUUAUAACUGUCCACUUGAGUGGCGCCAUGUGUUAUAGUUUUUAUGGAUUUCGUAACUCAGGGUUAGAAAGUGUUGUCCUCUGCCCUACUGAUAUAUUAAGGCCCUUUGGGUGUAUAGGUGGCUUCCGUAAGAAAUGUCGGUAGCGUCGACUUUCUAGCCUGGUUGCCUCCGUAGCUGGGCGAAAUAAAACAAAAUACUAAAUGCCUAGUCAUCUAAUUAGUGACACACAUGAAUGGAUUAACGAGAUUCCCACUGUCCCUAUCUACUAUCUAGCGAAACCGCAGCAAAGGUAGCGCACUAUGUAAAAUCACCGGGGAAAGAAGACCUUGUUGACCUUCAUUCUGGUCUGACCUUGUGAAAAGACACGAAAGGUGAAGAAUAAGUGGGACCAGUUCGCUGCGCCGUACGCUGCCCCGGUGAAAUAUCACUAUUAGCGAACCGCAAGGUUCACUUUCUAGACUUAAGACGCCCCUCGCGGGAGGCGAUCCGAGUCGAAGACACCGUCAGAUUGGGGCGGCAAAUCUUAACUGAUGAUAACGCAGGUGUCCUAAGGUGAGCUCGAUGAGAACAGAAAUCGCAUGUACAACAAACACUUGAACAAAGGGUAAAAGCUCACUUGAUUUUGAUUUUCAGAAUGAAUACAAACCGUGAAAGCGUGGCCUUUCAAUCUGCUUGAGUUUUAAGCAAGAGGUAUCAGAAAAGUUACUACAAGUAUAACUGGCUUGUGCCAGCCAAGCGUUCACAUCGCUUUUUGAUCCUUCGAUGUCGGCUUUUCCUAUCACUGCGCAGCAGAAUUCCCCAAGUGAUGGAUUGUUCACCCACCAAUAGGGAACUUCAGCUGGGGUUUGACCGUCGUGAGACAGGUUAGUUUAUUUACCCUACUGAUAAAGUGUUUCUGGUCUAUUAGACAGGAACCCCAGAUUCAGACAAUUGGUAAUUAUACUUGGCUGAAAAGCCAAUGGUACGAAG
Molecule: ribosomal RNA, 1781 nt
Filed under: coral metagenome
Description: eukaryotic LSU rRNA
Rfam family: Eukaryotic large subunit ribosomal RNA (bases 839-1781)
Source: RNAcentral